Molecule: long non-coding RNA, 344 nt
Filed under: Androctonus crassicauda
Lineage: Eukaryota; Metazoa; Arthropoda; Arachnida; Scorpiones; Buthidae
Source: RNAcentral
ACUACUAUUUACAGACUAUCCUAGUGAUUGAUUGCAUUGCAAGGAGGUUUCUUUUCUAUAUUUUGUCCAGAAGUCAUUCUCCAAUUUUUCGAGCAAAUACGUCCAAGCUUGCAAUAGUUCAAUGAUGGGCCUAUCAUUUAGGAGGUGUUCACCAUGCUUUCUCUUUUGUAUUUCCAAGGCUUCUGUCAGGAGAGCUUGUGAAUCUAUAGUCAAUGGUUUUACUGCCUUAGCAUCCUGCCAUGAUAUCUUUAGGUUGUUGCUAAAUGCUUCAGUUGGUUGCAAGAUGGUGGAGAGCUUUCCUUUGGAUAUAUCUUAUUCAGUCUUUUUUCCAGGGUUCUGGUGGU